Mus musculus (house mouse) is the source of this 946-nucleotide long non-coding RNA. RefSeq annotates it as predicted gene, 57702. NCBI's taxonomy places the organism in Eukaryota, Metazoa, Chordata, Mammalia, Rodentia, Muridae. The transcript has 4 exons. The record is from RefSeq and is a predicted model, not a curated record.
AGAAAAACAAAACCACACUUCAGACUCCGGCAUGGAGUAAAGCGAGCCAAUCACAGAUGGCAACAACUGCUUUAUUCUCAAUCCUGGUGUGAGAAGAGCUUCAGGAGGGGCCACAGGAGAACUGUCUGCAGGAACAAGCCAUGCCAGAUGCAGCAGGAAGAUGAAGGGUCGUUGAGGCGGACAUAGAUCAAGUGUGUGGGAUACGCCCGCCGCAAGGCUCCUGGAGGUGAGGACUUGCUCCAAUGGAGGGAGCACUCUGGAUAAUCCUCCUGCAGGACUGGUGCCUGAAGAAGUUUAGAUUUAGACAUUAUGUGCAGAAAAAUCACUGGUAUCCUGGGAGUGCUCAGUUGGCUCACUAGACUCAAGCAACGGGUGUUCCUUUGCGCUCACUUGCCAUUGCCUAAAAUAUCCUUGAGCCAGAAGUGGUGACUUCAAGCCUGUGCAGCUUUAUGCAAUUUGGUGUCAAAGGCUUUGGCUUCAACACCUGAUGGCUCUCUCAGAGGCUAGGCGUUAAAAGUCCCAGAGAGAGCAGGAGCCUACCUGACAAGCAAAAACAUCUGCAGCUCUCAGAAUGAGAUACCUCGCGCUGGGCAAAGGCAGAAUCCAGACUUAUGCUAUAUGACAUGAAAGUUGAAGGGCGACCAAUGUCAGGGGAGAAAUGGCACCCAGCCGUGGUGAGGAAGAGAGAAUAUUGGGGCAGAACCCACUACACGUCAGGCGUGUUGCCAAGUGUUGGAGAGGAUAUACAGUUGAAGAAAUUCCCUUUCCAGGCUGAGGCUGCCGAAGCCCAUAAAGAAGGUCAACUAAUGAUGGCACCGCAUGUCAAAAAGAACAUAGGAAAUGAUGCUACCAUGGAUUACACUGUAACACAGAAAGCUAAAACCCACGUUCUUAGAGUGAAGACUUUGAACCUAUGUGCAUUAAACCUUACAGAAAUUUGUGAAAA